This 346-nucleotide ribosomal RNA is filed under the name Tropidophis melanurus. RNAcentral's name for it is "partial 12S ribosomal RNA". The record is from RNAcentral. Lineage: Eukaryota; Metazoa; Chordata; Lepidosauria; Squamata; Tropidophiidae.
AAAUAACUACGAGUGAAAACUUAAAAUUUAAAGGACUUGACGGUGUCCUAUACUCAACCUAGAGGAGCCUGUCUAAUAACCGAUAACCCACGAUUAACCCUACCACUCUCAGGCCACACAGUCUAUAUACCGCCGUCGAAAGCCUAUCUUACGAAAGAAACAAAAUGGGCUAAAUAGUCUCACACUAACACGACAGGUCGAGGUGUAACUAAUGAGGUGGGAAAAGAUGGGCUACAUUAUUCAACCCGAAUAAUACGAACAAGACCAUGAAAUAGGUCCUCAAAGGCGGAUUUAGUAGUAAGCCAGGAAUAAAAUACCAAACUGAACACAAUGCAAUGGGACGCGU